GCAAGUCGAACGCUGAAGCCUAGCUUUUGUUGGGUGGAUGAGUGGCGAACGGGUGAGUAACACGUGAGUAACCUGCCCCCUUCUUUGGGAUAACGCCCGGAAACGGGUGCUAAUACUGGAUAUUCACUGAUCUUCGCAUGGGGGUUGGUGGAAAGGUUUUUUCUGGUGGGGGAUGGGCUCGCGGCCUAUCAGCUUGUUGGUGGGGUGAUGGCCUACCAAGGCUUUGACGGGUAGCCGGCCUGAGAGGGUGACCGGUCACAUUGGGACUGAGAUACGGCCCAGACUCCUACGGGAGGCAGCAGUGGGGAAUAUUGCACAAUGGGCGAAAGCCUGAUGCGGCGACGCCGCGUGAGGGAUGGAGGCCUUCGGGUUGUAAACCUCUUUCGCUCAUGGUCAAGCCGCAACAUUGGUUGUGGUGAGGGUAGUGGGUAAAGAAGCGCCGGCUAACUACGUGCCAGCAGCCGCGGUAAUACGUAGGGCGCGAGCGUUGUCCGGAAUUAUUGGGCGUAAAGGGCUUGUAGGCGGUUGGUCGCGUCUGCCGUGAAUCCUCUGGCUUAACUGGGGGCGUGCGGUGGGUACGGGCUGACUUGAGUGCAGAAGAGGACAGUGGAACUCCAUGUGUAGCGGUGAAUGCGUAGAUAUAUGGAAGAACACCAGUGGCGAAGGCGG
Molecule: ribosomal RNA, 669 nt
Filed under: uncultured Bacilli bacterium
Lineage: Bacteria; Bacillati; Bacillota; Bacilli
Description: bacterial SSU rRNA
Rfam family: Bacterial small subunit ribosomal RNA
Source: RNAcentral